This 253-nucleotide ribosomal RNA is filed under the name uncultured bacterium. Its description in RNAcentral is "partial 16S ribosomal RNA". It matches the Rfam family "Bacterial small subunit ribosomal RNA", at positions 524 to 776 of the family's 1533-position model. The record is from RNAcentral.
UACGGAGGGGGCUAGCGUUGUUCGGAAUUACUGGGCGUAAAGCGCACGUAGGCGGCUUUGUAAGUUAGAGGUGAAAGCCCGGAGCUCAACUCCGGAAUUGCCUUUAAGACUGCAUCGCUAGAAUUGUGGAGAGGUGAGUGGAAUUCCGAGUGUAGAGGUGAAAUUCGUAGAUAUUCGGCGGAACACCAGUGGCGAAGGCGACUCACUGGCCCGAUACUGACGCUGAGGUGCGAAAGCGUGGGGAGCAAACAGG